UGUCCUUCUCACCUAAUAUCCCAUGCUGUUCAGAUAUUCUAAAUAAGGUAAUAUCGUGAGAGUCAAAUUCGAGCCUUGUGAGAGGGUUACACUAAUAAUUGGUUUUAUUUUAUGUGUUUCCACAGUCAUUCUUUUGCUAUUUCUCUAAAUGUUUUUAUCUCAACUGUGGGGUCAACAGUUGAUCACUUGAACCCUUUAUUAAUACUUUGUUAAAUACAAAGAACAACAACAGAAAUAGCAGAUCUAUAAGCACACAACUUUGAUGCUUUGCUUGUUAAUAACUAACUUGCUUAUCUUUUAACAUUUUAAUUUUUACUAUAAUUAGUGUACAAUGAAUGUUUUUGAUAUUUGUGUAAUUAUUAUUGUAAUGGAUAUUUUUUGUCCAUGUAGGAGACAUCACUCGUCCUUCGUGCACUUCCUGUGUACCUGCGUGAAGAUGCCUCCAAGUUUUUCAGGACCUGUAAUUCAGCAGAUGGUCCAGACCUCACUGACACUCCGGUGGCUCUCCUGACAGUUGUCACUGAUGAUACUACUGAUGCGGCCCUCUUCAGCCCUGAGAGCAUCUGUAUUGUCGUGGAAGAUGAAAUACUUGUGAGUGGUCCCACAAACCUGGCUGACUCAUUUCUCCUGCUCUUUGGGUAUGUCUAUGCACUAGACCUACAGUACCCAAAGAAUCUCGAGCUUACAUUCACAUUUAUCCAAAAAGUAGUGAUGUGUCUUGAGGACAACAAACCACUGAAAGGGGGUCUACUGACACUGAAGAAUGAUUUGUUCAAUGAGUGAAUCACUCAGAAUGGACUAUUUGUUGAGCUGAGUAUUGAGGAUGUUUUUUUGUUUUUUUCCCCUCUUUACAAAUGUAAUAAUUUGCCUCUUCUACCUCAUGUUUAAUAUGUUACACUGUUUGCCUCUUCUACCUCAGAUUUAAUACAUUGAUUGUUAAUAGAUAAAUAUCACAACAUUGACGUAUUGCCAAGCCCAAGUUUUUGUACUGUACUUGUGGGAAACGACUGUUGAAUUCAUGCACUAUACAUGUUUAAUGUUGUGUGACCUAAUGCUUACCUUGAUGUUGCCAGUUGAAGUACGGCACAGUAGAAACCAGUACUUUUAUUUGAAUGUUUUAUUUUAAAAAAGUGAGUUGCAGCCUUCAAGGUACAGUAAGUGCCAAAACGUUUUAAAUGGCUCCACAUUCUAAUAGUUGUCAUUGCUGUUGAGGAUGGAUUAUAAUUAGAAUCUUAUUGAAUUUUAUCAUGAAGCCUUUGUGAGUUUUUAUCAUAAUGUUUACUGAAUAAUGUGAUAUGGAGACCCAAAAUACUGAAUCUACCCUCUGUAGCAAUGACCACUAUCAGAAUAUGGAACUAUUAACACUUAAUGUACUUUAAAACACAUUUUGUUUUUAUGGAGUCAUUUCCUUUUCCUUUUUUGUUUUAAUUUAUGACAAGCACUUUGUUUUGACUGAGCUCCUUUUGAUUCGUGCCUUUUUAAAAGCACAUUGUGUUGAAUAAAAAAAAAGUUAAAUUGUCA
Coregonus clupeaformis (lake whitefish) is the source of this 1521-nucleotide long non-coding RNA. RefSeq lists it as uncharacterized. NCBI's taxonomy places the organism in Eukaryota, Metazoa, Chordata, Actinopteri, Salmoniformes, Salmonidae. The record is from RefSeq and is a predicted model, not a curated record. The transcript is spliced from 2 exons.